AAUGAACGCUGGCGGCAGGCCUGACACAUGCAAGUCGAACGGAUCCUUCGGGAUUAGUGGCGGACGGGUGAGUAACGCGUGGGAACAUACCCAAAGGUACGGAAUAGCCUCGGGAAACUGGGAGUAAUACCGUAUGUGCUCGAAAGAGGAAAGAUUUAUCGCCUUUGGAUUGGCCCGCGUUGGAUUAGGUAGUUGGUGGGGUAAUGGCCUACCAAGCCGACGAUCCAUAGCUGGUUUGAGAGGAUGAUCAGCCACACUGGGACUGAGACACGGCCCAGACUCCUACGGGAGGCAGCAGUGGGGAAUCUUAGACAAUGGGGGAAACCCUGAUCUAGCCAUGCCGCGUGAUCGAUGAAGGCCUUAGGGUUGUAAAGAUCUUUAAGGUGGGAAGAUAAUGACUGUACCACCAGAAGAAGCCCCGGCUAACUCCGUGCAGCCGCCGCGGUAA
Molecule: ribosomal RNA, 448 nt
Filed under: uncultured bacterium
Lineage: Bacteria
Description: partial 16S ribosomal RNA
Rfam family: Bacterial small subunit ribosomal RNA
Source: RNAcentral